RNAcentral lists this ribosomal RNA (429 nucleotides) under Actinomycetes bacterium. RNAcentral's name for it is "Actinobacteria bacterium partial 16S ribosomal RNA". It matches the Rfam family "Bacterial small subunit ribosomal RNA", at positions 355 to 776 of the family's 1533-position model. The record is from RNAcentral. Lineage: Bacteria; Bacillati; Actinomycetota; Actinomycetes.
UAGGGAAUCUUCCGCAAUGGGCGAAAGCCUGACGGAGCAACGCCGCGUGAGUGAUGAAGGUCUUCGGAUCGUAAAACUCUGUUAUUAGGGAAGAACAAAUGUGUAAGUAACUAUGCACGUCUUGACGGUACCUAAUCAGAAAGCCACGGCUAACUACGUGCCAGCAGCCGCGGUAAUACGUAGGUGGCAAGCGUUAUCCGGAAUUAUUGGGCGUAAAGCGCGCGUAGGCGGUUUUUUAAGUCUGAUGUGAAAGCCCACGGCUCAACCGUGGAGGGUCAUUGGAAGCUGGAAAACUUGAGUGCAGAAGAGGAAAGUGGAAUUCCAUGUGUAGCAGUGAAAUGCGCAGUGAUAUGGAGGAACACCAGUGGCGAAGGCGACUUUCUGGUCUGUAACUGACGCUGAUGUGCGAAAGCGUGGGGAUCAAACAGG